GGUCAAGUGAAGAAGCGCAUACGGUGGAUGCCUUGGCAGUCAGAGGCGAUGAAAGACGUGGUAGCCUGCGAAAAGCUUCGGGGAGUCGGCAAACAGACUUUGAUCCGGAGAUCUCUGAAUGGGGGAACCCACCUAGGAUAACCUAGGUAUCUUGUACUGAAUCCAUAGGUGCAAGAGGCGAACCAGGGGAACUGAAACAUCUAAGUACCCUGAGGAAAAGAAAUCAACCGAGAUUCCCUUAGUAGUGGCGAGCGAACGGGGAUUAGCCCUUAAGCUUCAUUGAUUUUAGCGGAACGCUCUGGAAAGUGCGGCCAUAGUGGGUGAUAGCCCCGUACGCGAAAGGAUCUUUGAAGUGAAAUCGAGUAGGACGGAGCACGAGAAACUUUGUCUGAACAUGGGGGGACCAUCCUCCAAGGCUAAAUACUACUGACUGACCGAUAGUGAACCAGUACCGUGAGGGAAAGGCGAAAAGAACCCGGAGAGGGGAGUGAAAUAGAACCUGAAACCGUAUGCGUACAAGCAGUGGGAGCCUACUUGUUAGGUGACUGCGUACCUUUUGUAUAAUGGGUCAGCGACUUAUAUUCAGUGGCAAGCUUAACCGUAUAGGGUAGGCGUAGCGAAAGCGAGUCUUAAUAGGGCGUUUAGUCGCUGGGUAUAGACCCGAAACCGGGCGAUCUAUCCAUGAGCAGGUUGAAGGUUAGGUAACACUGACUGGAGGACCGAACCCACUCCCGUUGAAAAGGUAGGGGAUGACUUGUGGAUCGGAGUGAAAGGCUAAUCAAGCUCGGAGAUAGCUGGUUCUCCUCGAAAGCUAUUUAGGUAGCGCCUCAUGUAUCACUCUGGGGGGUAGAGCACUGUUUCGGCUAGGGGGUCAUCCCGACUUACCAAACCGAUGCAAACUCCGAAUACCCAGAAGUGCCGAGCAUGGGAGACACACGGCGGGUGCUAACGUCCGUCGUGAAAAGGGAAACAACCCAGACCGCCAGCUAAGGUCCCAAAGUUGUGGUUAAGUGGUAAACGAUGUGGGAAGGCUUAGACAGCUAGGAGGUUGGCUUAGAAGCAGCCAUCCUUUAAAGAAAGCGUAAUAGCUCACUAGUCGAGUCGGCCUGCGCGGAAGAUGUAACGGGGCUCAAACCACACACCGAAGCUGCGGGUGUCACGUAAGUGACGCGGUAGAGGAGCGUUCUGUAAGCCUGUGAAGGUGAGUUGAGAAGCUUGCUGGAGGUAUCAGAAGUGCGAAUGCUGACAUGAGUAACGACAAUGGGUGUGAAAAACACCCACGCCGAAAGACCAAGGGUUCCUGCGCAACGUUAAUCGACGCAGGGUUAGUCGGUUCCUAAGGCGAGGCUGAAAAGCGUAGUCGAUGGGAAACAGGUUAAUAUUCCUGUACUUCUGGUUACUGCGAUGGAGGGACGGAGAAGGCUAGGCCAGCUUGGCGUUGGUUGUCCAAGUUUAAGGUGGUAGGCUGAAAUCUUAGGUAAAUCCGGGGUUUCAAGGCCGAGAGCUGAUGACGAGUCGUCUUUUAGAUGACGAAGUGGUUGAUGCCAUGCUUCCAAGAAAAGCUUCUAAGCUUCAGGUAACCAGGAACCGUACCCCAAACCGACACAGGUGGUCGGGUAGAGAAUACCAAGGCGCUUGAGAGAACUCGGGUGAAGGAACUAGGCAAAAUGGCACCGUAACUUCGGGAGAAGGUGCGCCGGCUAGGGUGAAGGAUUUACUCCGUAAGCUCUGGCUGGUCGAAGAUACCAGGCCGCUGCGACUGUUUAUUAAAAACACAGCACUCUGCAAACACGAAAGUGGACGUAUAGGGUGUGACGCCUGCCCGGUGCCGGAAGGUUAAUUGAUGGGGUUAGCGCAAGCGAAGCUCUUGAUCGAAGCCCCGGUAAACGGCGGCCGUAACUAUAACGGUCCUAAGGUAGCGAAAUUCCUUGUCGGGUAAGUUCCGACCUGCACGAAUGGCGUAACGAUGGCGGCGCUGUCUCCACCCGAGACUCAGUGAAAUUGAAAUCGCUGUGAAGAUGCAGUGUAUCCGCGGCUAGACGGAAAGACCCCGUGAACCUUUACUGUAGCUUUGCACUGGACUUUGAGCCUGCUUGUGUAGGAUAGGUGGGAGGCUUUGAAGCGUGGACGCCAGUUCGCGUGGAGCCAUCCUUGAAAUACCACCCUGGCAUGCUUGAGGUUCUAACUCUGGUCCGUGAUCCGGAUCGAGGACAGUGUAUGGUGGGCAGUUUGACUGGGGCGGUCUCCUCCUAAAGAGUAACGGAGGAGUACGAAGGUGCGCUCAGACCGGUCGGAAAUCGGUCGCAGAGUAUAAAGGCAAAAGCGCGCUUGACUGCGAGACAGACACGUCGAGCAGGUACGAAAGUAGGUCUUAGUGAUCCGGUGGUUCUGUAUGGAAGGGCCAUCGCUCAACGAUAAAAAGGUACUCCGGGGAUAACAGGCUGAUACCGCCCAAGAGUUCAUAUCGACGGCGGUGUUUGGCACCUCGAUGUCGGCUCAUCACAUCCUGGGGCUGAAGCCGGUCCCAAGGGUAUGGCUGUUCGCCAUUUAAAGUGGUACGCGAGCUGGGUUUAGAACGUCGUGAGACAGUUCGGUCCCUAUCUGCCGUGGACGUUUGAGAUUUGAGAGGGGCUGCUCCUAGUACGAGAGGACCGGAGUGGACGAACCUCUGGUGUUCCGGUUGUCACGCCAGUGGCAUUGCCGGGUAGCUAUGUUCGGAAAAGAUAACCGCUGAAAGCAUCUAAGCGGGAAACUUGCCUCAAGAUGAGAUCUCACUGGGAACUUGAUUCCCCUGAAGGGCCGUCGAAGACUACGACGUUGAUAGGCUGGGUGUGUAAGCGUUGUGAGGCGUUGAGCUAACCAGUACUAAUUGCCCGUGAGGCUUGACCAU
This 2890-nucleotide ribosomal RNA is filed under the name Pseudomonas aeruginosa. Its description in RNAcentral is "23S ribosomal RNA". It matches the Rfam family "Bacterial large subunit ribosomal RNA". The record is from RNAcentral. Lineage: Bacteria; Pseudomonadati; Pseudomonadota; Gammaproteobacteria; Pseudomonadales; Pseudomonadaceae.